GGCGAACGUUAGCGACGGGCUUAACACAUGCAAGCCGAGCGAGAAAGCGGCUUCGGCCGUGAGUACAGCGGCGGACGGGUGAGUAACACGUGGAUAACCUACCCUUCAGCGGGGGAUAACUGUCCGAAAGGAUAGCUAAUACCGCGUACGUCGGCGAGACCUCCGGGUUUUGUCGGGAAAGCAGCCCUCUCCAUGGAAGGUUGCACUGAAGGAUGGGUCCACGUCCCAUAAGCUAGUUGGUGAGGUAAUGGCUCACCAAGUCUAAGACGGGUAGCUGGGCGGAGGGGAUGAUCAGCCACACUGGAACUGAGACACGGUCCAGACUCGUACGGGAGGCAGCAGUGGGGAAUAUUGGGCAAUGGGCGCAAGCCUGACCCAGCCACGCCGCGUGAGUGAUAAAGGCCUUCGGGUCGUAAAGCUCUGUGGGGAGAGACGAAAACACGCUGGCUAACAUCCAGCGGCUUGACGGUAUCUCCUUAGCAAGCACCGGCUAACUCUGUGCCAGCCGCCGCGGUAA
RNAcentral lists this ribosomal RNA (517 nucleotides) under uncultured bacterium. RNAcentral describes it as "partial 16S ribosomal RNA". It matches the Rfam family "Bacterial small subunit ribosomal RNA", at positions 28 to 523 of the family's 1533-position model. The record is from RNAcentral.